Molecule: transfer RNA, 72 nt
Filed under: Camelus ferus (Wild Bactrian camel)
Lineage: Eukaryota; Metazoa; Chordata; Mammalia; Artiodactyla; Camelidae
Rfam family: tRNA
About the family: Transfer RNA (tRNA) molecules are approximately 80 nucleotides in length. Their secondary structure includes four short double-helical elements and three loops (D, anti-codon, and T loops). Further hydrogen bonds mediate the characteristic L-shaped molecular structure. tRNAs have two regions of fundamental functional importance: the anti-codon, which is responsible for specific mRNA codon recognition, and the 3' end, to which the tRNAs corresponding amino acid is attached (by aminoacyl-tRNA synthetases). tRNAs cope with the degeneracy of the genetic code in two manners: having more than one tRNA (with a specific anti-codon) for a particular amino acid; and 'wobble' base-pairing, i.e. permitting non-standard base-pairing at the 3rd anti-codon position.
Source: Rfam by way of RNAcentral
AAGAGUAUAGUUCAAGUGGUAGAGCACAUGCUUAGCAUGCACGAGAUCCUGGGUUCAAUCCCCAGUUUCUUC